This is a long non-coding RNA of Solanum pennellii, 1231 nucleotides long. RefSeq lists it as uncharacterized. The record is from RefSeq and is a predicted model, not a curated record. The transcript is spliced from 2 exons. NCBI's taxonomy places the organism in Eukaryota, Viridiplantae, Streptophyta, Magnoliopsida, Solanales, Solanaceae.
CCUGAACCAAUUUUUGAACAUAAUAUUUUUAAACACAUUUUUCGGCUUGAUAUUCUAUGUGUUGCAUAAAGACUUACAUAUUGGCUAAAUAAAAAAAUCUUCACCGUAGGAAUAUUUCAGUCUAGAUAGGCAAUGACAAGUAUGAACAAAGAAAAAUCAUUUUUCAGUGGUCAUCUAGACACUUCUGCGAUUCUCCCUUUCUCCGACGAGCUCAUUAAGUCCGCGAUUUUUUCAGUCUCCCACAAAUAAGUUAAAGGAUGUUUUAUCAUUUGAUUUUCAUGAUGAGUUGCAUAUCUAUUUGAGGUAGCCAAGAGCCAACAACCUCAAACUCCACAUUCACUAUUUACCGUGUUGGAAGAAAAGUGUUUGGGAGCUUAUUGCAUGACCAAAGGAUGGGAAGAACAGUUUGAUACUGCUAAGUCCUACUUGGACAAAGCAACUAAGCAGAUGAAUAAAUUUGUGGACUACAAGAGGCGUUCCACAAAAAAUAGAGUUGGGUACAUGGUCAUAGUGAAAUUUAGCCCAAGACAGUUUAAGAAGCCACGAUGGAUGCACCACAAUCUAUUCCGCAAAUGUGAUACAAAUGCCUCCACAUCUUAAGAUUCAUCUUGUCUUCUAUGUCAACAUGCUAAGUCAUACUACGAAGACAAAGAUGACCCAAAUAGAGGUCAAUCGAGUCGUGCGCCUAUUACUAUCACUGCCUUACAUGAUCGAAAGAUUAAGUAUAUCAUUGACUAUCAAGCUAGGCGAAAACAAGGUUAACAAGCUACAAUCAUGUUCCUCAUCCAUUGGAAUGGACAAUCACUAGAAGAAGCCACAUGGAAGCGGUAUGAAGACUUGUGGCAAGUCAAAGAAGAGAUCACAUAAUUUAUGCAAUAAUAAUGCGUGCAGUCCUCGCAACAUCAGGUGGGGAAAGUCUAAUAACCCACCACGUCAUCACACCACAUAGAUGCUAAGUGGCAUAAAGUUGUCUAUGUGGAAGCUUAGAAGACUAGCAUUGAUAUAUUGUUUUUCUUGGAAGAUUUUAGAAUUACAUAGAAGUCUUUGGAAGGUUCUACAAUUGUAGAGUAUUCAAGAGAAGGGACUUAAUUGUAAAUAUAUAGGGACUUACAUUACAAAUAUUAUUUACAUAUCAAUUCCUAAGAUAUCAGUAUAAAUACAGGGGCAAUCAUUUGUAUAAUCAUAAAGCAAAUAUCAACAAAGUUCUCUACUAUUCAAUAUUUCUUAACAA